GCGGUCGUAGCUCAGUUGGUAGAGCAUUCGGUUGUGAUCCGAAUUGUCGCGGGUUCGAGCCCCGUCGAUCGCCCCA
This 76-nucleotide transfer RNA is filed under the name Micavibrio sp. TMED27. RNAcentral's name for it is "tRNA-His". It matches the Rfam family "tRNA". Rfam says of the family: Transfer RNA (tRNA) molecules are approximately 80 nucleotides in length. Their secondary structure includes four short double-helical elements and three loops (D, anti-codon, and T loops). Further hydrogen bonds mediate the characteristic L-shaped molecular structure. tRNAs have two regions of fundamental functional importance: the anti-codon, which is responsible for specific mRNA codon recognition, and the 3' end, to which the tRNAs corresponding amino acid is attached (by aminoacyl-tRNA synthetases). tRNAs cope with the degeneracy of the genetic code in two manners: having more than one tRNA (with a specific anti-codon) for a particular amino acid; and 'wobble' base-pairing, i.e. permitting non-standard base-pairing at the 3rd anti-codon position. RNAcentral also lists the same sequence under 1 other name. Lineage: Bacteria; Pseudomonadati; Bdellovibrionota; Bdellovibrionia; Bdellovibrionales; Pseudobdellovibrionaceae. The record is from RNAcentral.